This 467-nucleotide ribosomal RNA is filed under the name uncultured bacterium. RNAcentral's name for it is "partial 16S ribosomal RNA". It matches the Rfam family "Bacterial small subunit ribosomal RNA", at positions 28 to 507 of the family's 1533-position model. The record is from RNAcentral.
GACGAACGCUGGCGGCGUGCUUAACACAUGCAAGUCGAACGGAAAGGCCCUGCUUUUGUGGGGUGCUCGAGUGGCGAACGGGUGAGUAACACGUGAGUAUCCUGCCCUUGACUUUGGGAUAACUUCAGGAAACUGGGGCUAAUACCGGAUAGGUGCUCCUGCUGCAUGGUGGGGGUUGGAAAGUGUCGGCGGUUGGGGAUGGACUCGCGGCUUAGCAGCUUGUUGGUGGGGUAGUGGCUUACCAAGGAAUUGACGGGUAGCCGGCCUGGGAGGGUGACCGGCCACAUAGGGACUGGGGAGGGGCCCGGGCGCAUACGGGGGCAAGGGGUGGGGAAUUGUGCACAAUGGGCGGAGGCCUGAUGGAGCAACGCCGCGUGCGGGAGGACGGCCUUCGGGUAGUAAAACGAUUUCGCCUAUGACGAGGCGUGAGUAAGGGAAAUGGGGAAAGAAGCACCGCCAACUACGUG